Spodoptera frugiperda (fall armyworm) is the source of this 1696-nucleotide long non-coding RNA. RefSeq lists it as uncharacterized. NCBI's taxonomy places the organism in Eukaryota, Metazoa, Arthropoda, Insecta, Lepidoptera, Noctuidae. The record is from RefSeq and is a predicted model, not a curated record. The transcript has 4 exons.
AUAACGAUUAUCCUCAGUUACCAUUACAUAUAUAAGAAGUGAAGUGUAAGAGUUAUUUAAUCCCAUAACAAUGAAACUGUUAUUUAUUUUACCAGUGUUAUUUUUACUAUUAAUCUUAUGUGUCACGACUGGGAAUGGAGGAAGGAAUUGGCGGAUCAAAGCAAUCCACAAGUCCCCGACUUUGCCGGCAACAAGUGUGAUGGCAAUAUAUCGCAGUCUUCCUCCAAAACCGAAAGCCACCAGUUUGUCUACCUAAACCUUGAAGAACGACCUUAUUGCCAUACACUGCACACCGAAUCAGACAUGGAGUCUGAAAGAGUGUCAUAACUGUACAUCCAUGAAACGAACCUGAGAUCUACGGCUGGCUAGCUGCACCCACAAGCACUGGACCAACGAGACUGUCACCUACUAGUAUUACUUAAAACUGUAAUUACUAAACAAGGAUGUAUUUAAUAGUUUUAAUACGUUUUAUCAAGUCGAUUUGUAACUAACUAUGUAAUAAAAUCUAAGAAUAUGAAUUACACAUAUUUCUCAUUUUAAUAACAUUAUGGAACUUGGCAAUUAUAUUGAUGCCUUUUUUUUUGAGGGUUUAAAUCAUCGUAUGACUUCUGUCUGUGGCCGGAGAUCGUCGCGCGAUCUCCGACACCCGGAGUGUCUGUCGCGACGGCUUGGGCGUGAGGUUGUUCGUUCACUCACGCGCCCCGCCUCCUCCUUAGCUAGCAUGACUGCUUUGCAGAAAUUAUAUUGAUGCCUUCUGGCUGAAAGAGAGAGAGUUUUUUUUAUGGAAUAAUCCGGUAAACAAGCAGACGGAUCACGAUGGUAAGCAAUCGUCGCCGCCCAUGGACACUUGAAACACCGGAGGCGUUACAAGUGCGUUGCCGGCCUUUUGGGGGUUAGGAAAAAUAGCUGACUAACGCCCGAAUACUGAAAUGCUACUCAAUUUUAAGUUGUACUUAAAUAUCAUGCUAUCUCUGUCAUUUUAUAAAGAAUUGAUAGAGACAGAACUAGUUUUGAGAGCGUCUUAAAUUGAGCAGCGUUUGAGUAUUUCUGAUCCGUAGCUGUGGACUACCUAGCGGGUUUACCAGGCUCCGGUUCGAAAUGCAGGAGUAGGAACGGAGUGGUUUCUAGUCAGUAAGAGUCUGACACUCCCUCUCGCCUCGCCCAAGGCGAGAGAAGUCAUUGGAUGAUUUCCCCCCUCAAAAGAAAAGCGUUUGAGUAUUCGGACAUAACAGUACCGAAUUGUACUUCUGUCAGUUACCUGUUCACUGACACAUUGCACAUGCACUAAUGAAUAAAUUGUCAAUUAAAAAACAGGAAUUUAUGAAAUGUAGUAGAAUCUUAUUAAUAAUCAAUAAGGGCUUUAUAUUUAAUCUCAAAUUACUUACUGAACUACGCCAUUUAACUUUGAAACAAGGUACGGUCGACACGUAUCUCUUACACCAAGUGUUUAUAUAAAAACUGUAUUUAAAUAUGAAGAUUUUAUACAUAUUAAUAUUGUGUUUCUCAUUGGGAAUGGCUAUCAAGAUUAUUCGGUUCCCAAACCUCGAUGACGAUAAUAACUCAGAAGAAAAGAACAUCUACUCAUCGAAGCGAUUACAGGCACUUUAUUUCAAUCACGUAAAUAGUACGGCGUAUAUAAAAGAAUUAGAGGAUUCUGGAACCUUAUUACAUGUGCGAAAAUAACGAAACACUUUUA